GAGUUUGAUCGUGGCUCAGAUUGAACGCUGGCGGCAGGCCUAACACAUGCAAGUCGAGCGGUAGAGAGAAGCUUGCUUCUCUUGAGAGCGGCGGACGGGUGAGUAAUGCCUAGGAAUCUGCCUGGUAGUGGGGGAUAACGCUCGGAAACGGACGCUAAUACCGCAUACGUCCUACGGGAGAAAGCAGGGGACCUUCGGGCCUUGCGCUAUCAGAUGAGCCUAGGUCGGAUUAGCUAGUUGGUGAGGUAAUGGCUCACCAAGGCGACGAUCCGUAACUGGUCUGAGAGGAUGAUCAGUCACACUGGAACUGAGACACGGUCCAGACUCCUACGGGAGGCAGCAGUGGGGAAUAUUGGACAAUGGGCGAAAGCCUGAUCCAGCCAUGCCGCGUGUGUGAAGAAGGUCUUCGGAUUGUAAAGCACUUUAAGUUGGGAGGAAGGGCAGUAAAUUAAUAACUUUGCUGUUUUGACGUUACCGACAGAAUAAGCACCGGCUAACUCUGUGCCAGCCGCCG
Molecule: ribosomal RNA, 514 nt
Filed under: uncultured bacterium
Lineage: Bacteria
Description: bacterial SSU rRNA
Rfam family: Bacterial small subunit ribosomal RNA
Source: RNAcentral